This is a long non-coding RNA of Vicia villosa (hairy vetch), 1342 nucleotides long. RefSeq lists it as uncharacterized. Lineage: Eukaryota; Viridiplantae; Streptophyta; Magnoliopsida; Fabales; Fabaceae. The transcript is spliced from 4 exons. The record is from RefSeq and is a predicted model, not a curated record.
UUGUGCUCUGCCUUCAUUAUGCUACGACAAUUACAAUUCUAACGUACGUUGCAGUUACUAAGUAUCCUCUUUCUCUUCCAAAACCUUCCUCUUAUUAUUCCAAAACGGUUUCCAAAUCUUUUUCCUUUCACACUCAGAACGAAUCUCCUUCCUCUCUCUCUCUCCGAGCCAAAACGGCAACGCCUCCACUCUUCUUCUCCGACGAACUGCUCUGAUUCAUCCCCUCUGAUAGUCUUCCGCAUCCGUUCAUCGGUUUGAUUAUGUUGCUGAGGUUUUUUGUUCGCGUUUGAACCUGUGGUGUUUGGUUUUGAAUGUUUGAUGAUGAAUGUUGAGUUGAAACAGCUCUGAAUUGCCAAAGCUGGGUGAGAUCUUUCCGAGUUUAUGUUAUUUUCUCUUUAAUCUCUCUUCUUCUCUCUCAAACUUUCUGCUUUAUUUUCUCCAUUCAAAUGUGAUUUAGGUGUAUUAAUGUUGCCUAAUUUAGUUUUAUUUUUGGAAUGAAUUAAUAGGCCACCAAGUGUUUGUUAUAAUGAUUGAAGAUUGUUGGAGAAUGUAAGAGAAUCAAUUCAAGAUUGAAGAUGUUAUGAGAUUGAAAUCGGUGAUGGUGAUUAUGGAGAGAAGAUUUGAGAUAUGGAGGAGGAUUUGGGAAUCGCAAACUCUGUCCUCUGAUUCUGUUAUUUUGUUCCGGUUAUAAUUAUUUCCUCUCAUUUUCUGUUAUGGAAAUUGAGAUCCUCGCCGUCAUCUUCUUCCAAUUCUCCCCACCUUAUCUUUGCCGCUUCGUUUGGAUAAACAAUGUGUUCGGUUGUUCUUAAACUACUGGGAAUUAGAAUUCAAGUAAGUUUUUCUUAGAAACCUGUUCCAUUUCCUUGAAUUGAUAUUGAAUAUAGCACACACAUACUUUUAUAGGUUGUUUCUUUGUGACUGCAAAAGCAAAAAAGAAACAGUGGAAUGCAGGAUUUUGGUGACAAAUAUAUGGGUAACAUACAUUCAGCAUUCAGGAUUUCGCGUAUCUUUAUGAUCCAAACAAUGAGACUGCUGAAGCAUUUGUGCCAGCUCAGAUAUUGUAUGAUGCAUUCCAUGGAAGGUAUCACAAUUUUGCAGGAGCAAUAGUUCUACUAUUUGUGAUUUGGGGUUCAUUCUUAUUUGGUGGACUAUCAAUCACCACAAGUGCUGCCAGAGUCGUAAGUACUACGAUGUUACAAGAGUAUGUACCGACGCAUUUGUAUAUUCAUUCAUUAUGGUUUCGUUGAUUUGAUUUUAGUGGUAUGUAGUUGGACAAUUUCUCCGUUUUACCGGAUCGAGUUUAUAUGCUUACUUUAAGCUCAUUGGCAAAUAACAUGUUCAA